Molecule: unclassified non-coding RNA, 254 nt
Filed under: Chaetosphaeronema sp.
Lineage: Eukaryota; Fungi; Ascomycota; Dothideomycetes; Pleosporales; Phaeosphaeriaceae
Description: partial internal transcribed spacer region
Rfam family: Eukaryotic small subunit ribosomal RNA (bases 1-46)
Source: RNAcentral
AAGUCGUAACAAGGUUUCCGUAGGUAAACCUGCAGAAAGAUCAUUACACUCAGUAGAUUUCUACUGCUCAGAGGGAGCGGAAAGUGCUUUUGCACAAGUACGCUCUCUUUCUAAAACCCUUGUCUUUUUGCGUACUUCUGUUUCCUCAGCGGGUUCGCCCGCCAGCUAGACAACUCAAUAACCUUUUUAAUUUUCAAUCAGCGUCUAAAUAAUUAUAAUAAUUACAACUUUCAACAACAGAUCUCUUAGUUCUA